GGGCAUGUGGCACAGUGGUAGCGCGCACGCUUUGCAUCUUAACUUGAUUGCGUGAGGCCCAGGGUUCGAACCCCUGCUUGUCCA
Neolentinus lepideus HHB14362 ss-1 is the source of this 84-nucleotide transfer RNA. It matches the Rfam family "tRNA". Rfam says of the family: Transfer RNA (tRNA) molecules are approximately 80 nucleotides in length. Their secondary structure includes four short double-helical elements and three loops (D, anti-codon, and T loops). Further hydrogen bonds mediate the characteristic L-shaped molecular structure. tRNAs have two regions of fundamental functional importance: the anti-codon, which is responsible for specific mRNA codon recognition, and the 3' end, to which the tRNAs corresponding amino acid is attached (by aminoacyl-tRNA synthetases). tRNAs cope with the degeneracy of the genetic code in two manners: having more than one tRNA (with a specific anti-codon) for a particular amino acid; and 'wobble' base-pairing, i.e. permitting non-standard base-pairing at the 3rd anti-codon position. NCBI's taxonomy places the organism in Eukaryota, Fungi, Basidiomycota, Agaricomycetes, Gloeophyllales, Gloeophyllaceae. The record is from Rfam.